AAAACAUCGCCUCUUGACAAAACAUAAGAGGUCCAGCCUGCCCAGUGACAAAGUUCAACGGCCGCGGUACCCUAACCGUGCGAAGGUAGCAUAAUCACUUGUUCUUUAAAUGAGGACUCGUAUCAACGGCACUACGAGGGCUAUACUGUCUCCUUUUUCUAAUCAGUGAAACUGAUCUCCCCGUGAAGAAGCGGGGAUCAAAAUAUAAGACGAGAAGACCCCAUGGAGCUUUAAACUCACUAUACACCUCUGUGCCUUUAUGCCACUAGACACAAGAGAUCUGCGUACUAGUUUUAGGUUGGGGGGACCACGGAGUAUAAUUUAACCUCCAUAACAAAUGGGCUAACACCCUUAUCUACGAGACACAACUCUAAGAAUUACUAAACUAAUGCUUAUGACCCGAUAUUCGAUCAAUGAACCAAGUUACCCUGGGGAUAACAGCGCAAUCUACUUCAAGAGCCCAUAUCGACAAGUGGGUUUACGACCUCGAUGUUGGAUCAGGGUAUCCCGGUGGUGCAGCCGCUACCGACGGUUCGUUUGUUCAACGAUUAAAACCCUACGUGA
This 564-nucleotide ribosomal RNA is filed under the name Rana graeca (Greek frog). RNAcentral's name for it is "partial 16S ribosomal RNA". It matches the Rfam family "Bacterial large subunit ribosomal RNA", at positions 1810 to 2603 of the family's 2925-position model. Lineage: Eukaryota; Metazoa; Chordata; Amphibia; Anura; Ranidae. The record is from RNAcentral.